CCUACAGCACCAGCCCAGGAAGCCAACGAA
Molecule: non-coding RNA, 30 nt
Filed under: Homo sapiens (human)
Lineage: Eukaryota; Metazoa; Chordata; Mammalia; Primates; Hominidae
Source: RNAcentral